CAGCAGCCACGGGAAUACGAAGGGGGCUAGCGUUGCUCGGAAUGACUGGGCGUAAAGGGCGCGUAGGCGGCGAUCAAAGUCAGGCGUGAAAUUCCUGGGCUCAACCUGGGGGCUGCGCUUGAUACUUGGUUGCUUGAGUGGGGAAGAUGGUCGUGGAAUUCCCAGUGUAGAGGUGAAAUUCGUAGAUAUUGGGAAGAACACCGGUGGCGAAGGCGGCGACCUGGUCCUUGACUGACGCUGAGGCGCGAAAGCGUGGGGAGCAAACAGGAUUAGAUACCCCCGUAGUCCCUGUCUCUUAUAC
Molecule: ribosomal RNA, 301 nt
Filed under: uncultured bacterium
Lineage: Bacteria
Description: partial 16S ribosomal RNA
Rfam family: Bacterial small subunit ribosomal RNA
Source: RNAcentral